UGCGGUUUUAUUGUUUACAAUACACUAUGUACAAUUGAAAACAGCUUCAAUCUUGCAUGUCAAUAGUCAAAGUUUAGUUUUGGCAGAUUAUGGUGUAAAAACAGGAUAUUGUCAGCUAUGUGGAGCUAGUCUGCUGCGUUUUUCAGUGGAAAUGUUCCCAGCUUUACUUCACUCGAGACAAAAGACACAGGUUUUGCAACAAAAUGUGA
This is a non-coding RNA of Paramuricea clavata, 209 nucleotides long. Lineage: Eukaryota; Metazoa; Cnidaria; Anthozoa; Malacalcyonacea; Plexauridae. The record is from the annotation of a GenBank genome assembly.